This is a long non-coding RNA of Oncorhynchus tshawytscha (Chinook salmon), 3262 nucleotides long. The record is from Ensembl. NCBI's taxonomy places the organism in Eukaryota, Metazoa, Chordata, Actinopteri, Salmoniformes, Salmonidae.
CAUUACCCCCAUCAUACCCCCUGCCUGUCCAAAUAAAAUAUUUUAUUUGGCCAAGAUGCACACCGACAGAAAGACGGAUCAAUCUCUGAUAAAGCAUCUGAGUGAACAAAACAGUGCCCAUGUAUCUGAUUCUGUCUGGCCCAAAAAAGUAUGGCAAUGUGCACAUGCAGGCGGACCUGUGAAAAUAAAUUGUCACCCCUAUCGACGUCAAAUGCCCGUGCAACUGAUUUUUUCUGGCACCAGCCCUGACUCACUGUGAAGACCCUUCACAGGUCCCCCUUGGCACGUGCAGCUAGAUGAAUCAGUUGGCCAGCCAAUAGUUCUUCUCGAUGGUAUAGUUGAAGGACCCUCCAUGGUUGUCCCAGUCAAGGGGACCAACAUUAGGCAACUGCAUCAUCCAAGACAGGAUCCAACUCUUACCAAUCUCCAGCACCCCCCCACCACCCAAUUGUACUCCUGCUCUUGGGAGUGACGUGCAGUGACACCCACCUUUCCCAUGACACAGUGUCUCUGUACUGUACCUAUCCCUGUCCUGUAAUAGCACGAAACAGCCACAAGAGCUAGCCACUCCUCUCCAGGAACACAUACAGGAACGCCACAAAUUGGGGGCUGCAAUCACACACUUUUGCUAAUUGUAGCAUUCCACACUCUUGAGUUAUUCUGGUAAUGCAGCUUUGACCUUUUCUAGUCCAGACUCAAUGUUUUAUAGGACAUUUGGCUCUUCUCUUUACUUGUCCAAACCCAAUCGGCUUUUAAAUGCCGUUAAUUGAUUUUAAAGGUUAAAAAUAUGUUGGUAUGAUUUUGGUACUUAGUCUUUUAUUUUUUAGCCUUCUCUCUUCCUAUAUAAAUGAGACCGUUUUGUUUCAGACACAAAAAUUCAGGACAAGAUAAUCAAUAUGAUUGCAAUGCGGAGCAUGUAACUCAAACUUGAGGAUGGCAAUAAAAACCUAAACCUUUAUUUGUAUGUCUUCCGGUCAUGAUUGUUGUCAUGAACUGUCAUCUCCUUCAGUGGCAUGUCAACGCUGUCAUUGAUGGCUACCCAAAUUGUUGUCAAUAUUCACUGUUCUGCAGUUCUUGCAUGAACUAAUUAAGGACCAGUGCAGUCAAAACGUGACUUUCAUGUGCUUUAUAUAUACAGUACCAGUCGAAAGUUUGUACAAGUGUGCAAAGCUGUCAUCAAGGCAAAGGGUGACUACUUUGAAGAAUCUCAAAUAUAUUGAAAUGUUUUACACUUUUUUGGUUACUACAUGAUUCCACGUGCUAUUUCAUGGUUUUGAUGUCUUCACUCUUAUUCUACAAUGUAGAAAAUAAUAAAAAAUAAAAACCCUGGAAUGAGUAAGUGUGUCCAAACUUGACUGGUACUGUAAUUCAUAACUGUGAGGUUGGAAUAAUACUGUGGAAUUGUGAAAAUGACAAUGCCAUUUUAGUGUAAGGGCUGUCUGAAAAGACUGAAAUUUCAACCUGUUUUGGUGGGAUGGAGUUUUGGCCUGCCUGGUAACGUUAAUAGACUAAUAAGAAAGAGUUCCAAACCUCUCUGCCAAUAACGGCAAAUAUUUCAUUUUCUCCUACUCACUCAGAACACUCCCAGACAGUCCUGCCAAAAUUCUUGCCGGAGAAAAUAAAUGUUUUAUUUUUGACCAUUUGAAUUGAAAACAAUCACUAAUGUAUUUCAUUAUUACCGGGAAAUUAUUUGAUACUGAGGAUUAAAAAAAAGCUGCAUUGGAUCAUUAAAGUAUUUGCUGUGCUAGACCUAGGGAUACUCUUUGCUAUAUAGUGCAAUCGGAAAGUAUUCAGACCCCUUCACUUUUUCAGUACAGCUCAGAGACAUGAUUGUGUCGAGGCACAGAUCUGGGGGGGUGGUACCAAAACAUGUCUGCCGCAUUGAAGGUCCCCAAGAACACAUUGCCCUGUAUCAUUCUUAAUUGUAAGAAGUUUGGAGCCACCAAGAGACUUCCUAGAGCUGGCCGUCCGGCCAAAUUGAGCAAUCGGGGGAAAAGGGUUUUGGUCAAGGAGGUGACCAAGAACCCAAUGGUCACGCUGACAGAGCCUUCCAGGUGGGGGAGCCUUCCAGAAGGACAACCAUCUCUGCAGUGCUCCACCAACAGGCCUUUAUAGUAGUGUGGCCAGAUAGCAGCCACUCCUCAGUAAAAGCUCUCUCGUGACAGCCUGCUUGGAGUUUGCCAAAAGGCACCUAAAGGACUCUGAACAUGAGAAACAAGAUUGAACUCUUUGGCCUGAAAGCCAAGUGUCACGUCUGGAGGAAACCAGGCACCACUCAUCACCUGGCCUAUUUUUAUUUUUUUAUUUUACCUUUUAUUUUACUAGGCAAGUCAGUUAAGAACAAAUCCUUAUUUUCAAUGACUGGCUAGGAACAGUGGGUUAACUGCCUGUUCAGGGGCAGAACGACAGAUUUGUACCUUGUCAGCUCGGGGAAUUGAACUUGCAACCUUCCGGUUAUACCAUCACUACGGUGAAACAUGGUAAUGGCAGCAUUGUGUUGUGGGGAUUUUUUUUCAGGAAAGAUGAAUGGAGCAGAAUACACAGAUCCUUGAUGAAAACCUGCUCAGGACCUCAGACUGGGACUAAGAUUCACUUUCCAACAGGACAAUGACCCUAAGCACACAGCCAAGACAAUGCAAGAGUGGCUUUGGGACAAGUCUUUGAAUGUCCUUGAGUGGUCCGGCCGGAGCCCGGACUUGAACCCAAUCGAACAUCUCUGGAGAGACGCUCCCAAUGCAACCUGACAGCUUGAGAGGAUCUGCAGAGAAGAAUGGGAGAAACUCCCCAAAUACAGGUGUGCCAAGCUUGUAAUGUCAUACCCAAGAAGAAUUAAGGCUGUAAUUGCUGCCAAAGGUGCUUCAACAAAGUACUGAGUAAAGGGUCUGAAUAUAUGCACACACAAAAUGUGGAACAAUUGAAGGGGUCUGAGUACUUUCCGAAAGCACUGUACCUGUUGUUAGUGGUAUCAUAGUGGUUACGAAAUUAGCGCUGGAGCAUUAUAUAGUGAUUUUUUUUUUUUUUAACAAAUACAUUUUGAGAUUUGCUUUACAUAUUUGAACUUUGUGUUCGAAUUAAACAAUCAAGGCCUUUAAACACUUGUUGGACAAUACAUCAAAAUCCCUUUUAUUGAAUCUUACAGAGUUGACAUAAUUCCAGUUAAGUGCAUUUUAAUGUAAAGCUUUUUUUUUUAAUUAACUUGUUGCUCCUUUACAUGUGGUAGCUGAUACUUUGGUCAAUAAAAAUAUCAAAUAAAAUGCAAAUA